GGGUCAGUAGGUUGGUCGUGCCACCGGUACGUACUGGUCUCACUGAUUCCUCCUUCCUGAAGAACAGUAAUGCCAUUAAUUUGGUGUUGCGGUGAAACUGGACUGUUACUUUGAAAAAAUUAGAGUGUUUAAAGCAAGCUAACGCUUGAAUACAUUAGCAUGGAAUAAUGAAAUAGGACGAUCGAUCCUAUUUUGUUGGUUUCUAGGAUUGACGUA
Molecule: ribosomal RNA, 216 nt
Filed under: Glomeromycotina sp.
Lineage: Eukaryota; Fungi; Glomeromycota
Description: partial small subunit ribosomal RNA
Rfam family: Eukaryotic small subunit ribosomal RNA (bases 40-216)
Source: RNAcentral